UGGAUUGAUACAACUACAGCACAUAGUAGCAGCAGGUUAAAAGCUAGUACAUAGUUAGGAAAGAGCACAUUACGCUCUCUCCAUCAGUGGAUAUAUGGUACCUGGUACUGAACCUGAUAGCCAUUACCAUAAUAUGUUGUGUGGGCAGGUGAGAUGCCAUAGGGAGCUGAGCUUAUCAUUGUGGGAUGGUGAUGGGCCUCAGCACCAUACACAUACUGCCUCUCGUAAGGGUAGGAAUGCCUCUGCGGCGGAGCAGCCUGGUAGAAGCUUUUGUCAGGAAAGCUAGUAUGUGGCGCAUAUACGGAUCCAUUGGCACGAGGCCUCUUAGACUGUGGCUUUGCAGCUUCAACAGCCCUCCUCUUGUCUGCCUUAGCUUUCUCUAGCUGGAUAACUCUUUUCUGAAGCAGGUCAAUCGGAUAUUUCUCAUCAAGUUUGUGCUCCUCGAUACACUUAAUAGCAGCUUUCAAGGCAGACAGCUCUCGUUCAUUCAUUUCAUUCUGAAUAAUAUGGUAAUUCAUCAGAUAUACUACAAUCACAAUUAAUUAGGAAUGCACGCAGAUAUGCUUAAAAAAUGUACAGACCAGCAAGAAGAGAAAAUAUUUGUUACCCCACACAAGAAAGAAAAGGUAGCAAGCAACUAUAGCUGAAUAGUAUCUUGCAAGCUAAAGUAGCUCUUUAUUAUUCAAGUUCUUCAGAACAGCACUGCAGCUUCUACAUUGAAGCUGAUUGGUGGCUAAAUGAUUUGCUAACUUUAUGAUAUGAUCAAACCCCGUACUUUAACUAUUCCAGGAUAAAUAAAUCAAAUAAGUGAGUGAACAAUUACAGUAUACGACUUGACAGCCAUAGAACCUAAUGAAUCAAAGUAGCUGAAUUCAAUUGCUGAAAGGGCCAAAUGUCUCAUUACCAUUUAUAUCAGGAAAUUUUCAAACACGAUCAGCUGGAGUGCUGGAUCACACAACAUAAUUAGAAAGUUCAAACAGUUGCACAGGUGAAACUAGCUUAGAGUUAAAAACAGAGCAAGUACUAAAUAAUCUCCUAAAAGACUGUUAAGCUAUCCUGUUGUUAGAAAAAAGAACUGGAACUUUGUUUAUGGUGGCAAAGGGCCACGAGCUGAAAAAAAUAAACUUUCAUGUGGUUCAGAGCUUCUUAACAGAGUUGGUGUAACUAGUAGUUCUACACGGGAUUCACUUUCAUGGAUCUAAGAAAAAUCCCAUCCAAACUAGUCAAUCCAAGGAAAUUCUGGAACAAUCUCUAUACUAGGUAUGAAGCAUGAGGAGCCGUUUGUGGAUUGUAGUGACAGGAUGUCAUGGUGCCACAUGAAAGAAUACUAGAGAACAAGUUGCUUUCAGUCCAAAUACUCCAGCACAAUAUUGUCGUAAUUUUCACGAAAAAAGAACUUUUAUCGUAUUCAAUUAGAGAAUGAAUGCAUGUGUCACCAACUGGCAACCGAUCCAUCGAACAGAAUUGCUACAAUCUACAAGCAAUCCUGUUCAUUUCGACUCCAUUUUCACUCAGCCUUUACAGGUGUAUAUUGAUUUUUUUUAAGGGAAGUCUUGCAAUGAUUUAGUGUUUGGUUUUGAAAUUCUUAGUGAUAAUUUUCGCAACUAAAUUCCCUCCUGCAUGUUCGAGGGAAAAAAUGGAACUAAAUUAAACCAUGCCUUUUUAAAAAAAAAGAAAAUCAGAGCAGACCAGGAUUACUAUGUUUCCCACUUCAAUCUUGAACCCUGGUUCUGUGAAAGAAAAUUUACAGGGUAUCAUACAGUUUAAAAUUGAAAUGAAAAAAGUGCACCUGUACUUGCAGAGAUAUCUUUCCAGUCUUGAAAUGUGGCACACUCUUGACCUCCUGUAGAUAGGCUUUCAGUAAUUCCACCGGUUCAAACUGAUUAGUCAGCUCAAAUGCAUAAGCCAAAUUAAUUGCAUCAAUAGUUCUCCCAUUUUCAACCAGAACUCCAAUGACACCUAACAUCAAGAAAAUAUCUCAUGAGAAAAUGUGCUGACCUGUAAAAACGAAAAGAACAUGCAGCAGCAGAAAGGCGGAAAAGAAGAAAGGCAAAAUUAAAAGUAUGGAGCAAAGGGACCUCGGUGACUAGUCACUAGUCAGCAACAAUCCACCUAGGUCAGGGGGUAAAAGGUGAAUUAGUUGGUUAAAAUCGGUCUAGUACGUUCAAGUUGAUCAAUAUUAGUCAAGUGACUAGUCGGUUAAACAGGUCAACUAGGAAACAGAAAAGUGGCAUGGACUGAAAAUUUGGGCUAAACGGGUGGGAUAAGAGGGGUGGGAAAGGUCCUAUGGUUAUUCCCUCCCAUGACACGUCUGGAGCAGUCAAGAGCCGCCACGUGCUCUCUCGCCUUCACCUCAUGCAGCUUAUCAAAUUGUCAGUCUUAUAUUUCUCAAUAAUCAAUAGUCAGUACUUGAUCUGAAAAUAUGCUAUAAAACAUGUUAAAUGGCUAGCUACUUUUGAGCAAUAUUUUAUUUUUGGACAUAUUGGAACCACCGACUAGUUACUAACUAGUCAACAGCCGCUAGUCAUUGACCGACCACUGACUAGCGUCUAGGUUAAUACUGUUUCAAAACCAUGCGGGUGGCAAAUCUUUCAAUGGUUAUCUUUUUUUGUUUAAUGCAUAUUUGCCUCCUAAUAAUAUUAACCAUAUUUCUUAGAUAUUCGUAUUAUUCUUUUUCUAAAAUAGAUGCACAAAAGCACAUCCCAGUAUGUAAUCAAGCUCAAGGGCAAGGUCGGCGAAUUGAAUGACGUCCUCUUAGCUUGUUAUGCUCCAGAAUAUAUGAUCAUAUAUGUUAUUUAUAAGUUAGUAAAUACAUUCAGUUAAAUUAAGACCUCAACUGAGCAUAUAACAUAGCUUAGAAGCUGUGGAAACUUUGCUGCCACUAAGUACAAUACAGAUACUAGAUAGUGAGGUUCGGUGUGCGGCUGCCAAAUUAUAAGUAGCAGCCUGCAGAUUUUCCAUACAAAUUAUCUAAACAGCAAUGCUACAAUUCUGAUUACUUGUAGGCAUCUCUUGCUGCAGCCACUAACUAGAAAAUAAAUCCCAUGGUAUAGAUAUAUAGAUAUAUGAACAAUUAUUGAAGUGGUCAGAAUGUGUUCUCUAAACAUCUGAGUGACAAAGAGAAAUAGAAAAUUCCAUUUAUUAUUGAUGCUCAAUGGAACAAGCUGCAUUAUUAAUCGAUGAUAGCACUGACCUGGCAUGUUCUGGGACAAUCCAAGUAUUCUACAAAGCUCAGGUGUCUGACGACGACGACUGACUGAGGGAAGUAGCUUACACAGCUCAUCUUGUGCAAAUUCAGCAAAUAUACCAAAGGUAGCCAGGAGUUGAAGAAACGCAUGUGCUUCCAGGCAGUUCCCAUUGCUAGCAUCAAAGUCAAGGCUAUCCAACUUGGAUUUCCACUCAAGAGCAAUCUUUUUUGCACGCUCCUUGAUACUUGCAGUAAGCACUUGACCUUCCGAUAUGAAACCAGUAGUAGCAUCAGUUUGCAGCUGAGCAAGUGAUUCCAUCAACAUGAGGCACGUCCUCCGUACACCCAGAAGGUUUCCAUCCUUUUUGCCAUCCAAUAUAAGAUUGUCUCCAAAAUAGAAGUCUUCUAGAGAAGCUAACACCAAGCCAUAUGGAUCAGUUGCUCCCCUAAGUGCAACGGGGAUUUCCUCACGGAUGGAUGUUAAGUCUUUGCGAUUGUCUGAUAUGAACUUAUGAAGCCCGUUAACAUUCAUCUCUUCACAGAGGACAACAAGUUGAGAACGAGGCUUCACAGCAGUGUUUUCAUCUUGCAGGUAUGCACCAUGCGCAGUUGCAGGUUUGGGCCACUUAACAGAAAGACUACCACCGAUGUUUCCAUUAAACACAGCAUUGUUAUUCACGGAUUUGCUGAUUGGGUUGAUAAGAGGCGUAGACAAGUUCAGCUUGGACUUGCCAAAGAUCACAGCCAACGCGGCAUCCCUUUUCUGCUGCAGUUUUUCAAGAGAAGUCAGUUCCUUUGCCACGACAACAGCCUCUUGUUGCUCCAGCAUCUGCUCUGACUUUGCAACCGUCUCCUCGAACUCCUCUUCCUGCCUUUUCAGAUCAUCAAACUUUUUCUUGAGCGACUGCUCAAGCCCAUGGAAAUGGUCCUCCAGUUGCUUCCACUUUAAGUUCAAGGAAACAGCGCUCUGGCUCUCGAGCUCUGCAAAUGCACGCUGAAGCUGCUGCAGCUUGGAGCCUGUGGACUCCAUAAGUGUAGCCAUGGACUCCAUGUCGGACAUGGUGGCAGAUUUCUGCAAAAGGUGAAAACAACGAAAGCUGUUGGUACCCAUACCACAAACAACAAUACCGCACAUAAAACCAGGGGCGGAUCUAACGUGGGACAUGGGGAUUCAUCCCAAACUUUUUUUGGGGAACAAACGAAACUGUUAUUCGUAUUAAGAAUAGCAAAUUGAAAGAAAAGCAGCAGCUUUCAGAUCUAGAAGAGAAGCUAGGGUUGACGCGAAUUCGAGGGGAAAAAGUGGGUGGGUAGAGAGGGAUGAGAAAGAGGAUAUGCGAAACGGAUGGAUGCUCACCAGGAAGCAGCAGUGACGAUGUGCGUUGACGGACGGAUGCUAGCUCCCCCGCCCCCGCCACCACCUAUGGCGGCUCGGGGAGGAGAUCGAGGGGGGUCGGCGGCGGCGGCGGCGGCGGCCGGAGGAGCGGCGGAACCCUAGACGUGGUGGUGGGUUGUGGGCGUCUGUCUGCUUUUCGCGGGAGGGAUGGGGAAAGUGACGGAUUGGAGAAGCUGCGGUGCGAGGGGAGAGAGUGAGAGACAAUGGUUGGUGGGUCCCAUCUGUCAGUGAUAGUCUUUUUACUCCUCGGUCUGCAGAAAAGCGGUUUGCCAUGUGCUCUAAAAACAGUGUUUUUACAACUUAGUAAUUUUUUAUUUAAACAUUAGAAGGAAAAUGUGCACAAGAGAUACACAAUUGUCUUUCCAAGGAGUAGCUUGCAUAAGUUGCUUUGUAGGACAAGUAUUAUUAUUACAAGCAUGACUAAUAUUUUGGUAAUUUAGAGCUGCUAACUCAUAUUUAGAUUCUCUGGCUUUUUUAGACUAGUAGUCAGCUAUUUGAUACCCUUUUAUUUAUAUCUCUGGGGAUCCAUUUGACGUUGAAAGAAGCUCCACCUGAAAAGUUAUGUAAUUGUGCAAGCAAAGGCAAAAGGCUCUAGUGAUGGUUAUGAUUGAUAUUAUUAGAGUUUUGAAGUAAGAGCACCAGUUCUUGAUUGUCUUGAAAAAAUAGGGAGGAUUUGUAAUUUGAAGGAAAUCACAGAUGAAGGUAUCAAGCUUAAAAGUUGCAAGUUCCGCCUGAAUUGGCGACACAUAAAGAGUUGAUUUGGCCUACACAAAGAUGAUAUGAUGAUUUAUAGAGUCAUGUAGAAAAAAGACCAAACCUUGUUAUAUUAUCCUUCCCAGAAGCGUCAAGGAAACAUCCAGUUACUGGCAACAAAUUAACAGAAGCAACAGAAUUCAUCUAUGAUUGGAAUAGUUUCAUUAUCAUUCUCAUUAGACAAGGCUGAAAUAUAAUUCUUUGACAUAGCGCUUGCUACAUUACAAACUUGCAAAGGCUCCCAUUCUUUUUUCUUGAAAUAAUGAUCAUUUCUAGCUUUCCAAAUAAACCAAAGAAGGAUUGGAACUUUUUGAAGGCUGUUUUCAGAAUUAUUAGUUGCAAGCAAAUAUGCUAUAAUAUUAGAAACAUUUUGCAUUGAGUCAAUAAUGAGAUUGUGAAAAGAGAGUUCUUAAAGUUUCCAGGUAAGUCUUGCAAAAGCACAGCGGAAGAAAAGAUGAACAUUUUCAGCAUCAUUGCAACGGGAGCAAAAAUCAGGAAUAUCCAAAAUUUUUGAGUGAAGAUUUGCAGCCGUUGGAAGAGCUUGUCUAAUUAGUCUCCAAAUAAAAGUUUUAACUUUAGAAGGAAUGUAUUUAGUGGACCAAGUUUUCAAAAGGAGAUUACUCUGUAAAGAGGUGAUGUUAGAGGAGACAAGAUAAAGAUAAAGAUUAAGUGCUUCACACAAAACAAGGUGGUAAUAACGUGUGAUUAAUUGAGUUUUAAUUAUUACAAACUUGAAAAUAGAUUAAUCUGAUAUUUUAGAACAACUUUCAUACAGAAAGUUUUUGCACGAAACACACUGUUUAGUAGUUUGAAAAGCGUGCCGAGAAUAUCCAAAAUUUUAUCCGCUCCUUGCAGUGGAAACGAACUGGAAGUGAGAAAUAUUAGAAACCUGCUUAUAAUUGCUUUUUGAAGUAAUGCUCUUGAAGAAGUAGGAAUCCAAUAGAGUUUGUCCUCAUUAUCCUGAGGAACAAUCUGAACCUUUGAUAUGAUUUGCACCAUUUCCUAGUCAAAAAUUUGAUUGAGCUUGUUUUUAGACCAAGAUCUAAAACAGUUUGUAACGUAUGAUUUCCGGACAAAAAACCCAUCAUUCUACUCACGGAUAACACAUCAGCUUCUUUACCAGCUAAUCAUGACACUUACGGGCUUAGAGCAUUCCUAGCUGCUUGCUUAUCUAUUUCGUCCCUCAUCAACAGCAAUAACAUCAGCAGCUAAUCUAGUAGAUGCACCAACCCUAUCUUUAAAUUUAGCAUGUGUGCUAUCUUGGAAAGAGAAACAACAACUUUGGUGUUGCUCUCUUCUUACCGAGCUCCCGCCCCAUCCGGAUCGACCGAGCAACGCCUCGUCCAUCAUUGUCAUCAUUACUAGCCAGCGUAGGUGAGUCCCUAUAUUCCCUUUACUUUUUUUUCAGCGAUGGUGGUAGUGGCAGGGCUUCAAAGGGUAGAGCCAUGGCGGAAUGAGGGUGGAGCCAUGGCGGAAUGGUGGUAGUGGAGAGGAAGGGUGCACCAAUCUAGAGGUGGCAAUGGAUUCUAGGGUGGUGGAUGUGGUCAUCGACCUGCUACGUAUGCAAAAGCACUGCUCGCAUUGAUGGCUCUCUUAAUUAAUAUUUGAUAGAUUCACAAUGUAAUAUAUUUGUAUCCUUCAACAUGUUUUACCACUUGUAUGCUGCUAUGAUUUUUCUUGCUAGAUGAAUUGAUGGACACCUACGUUGGUUUGUUGGGUUCAGACAUUGAUGUAGCAAAUUAGAAUCUAAGUCAAAAAAAAUUCCCCAAAAUGGAGCCGCCACAACCACCGUUUUUUUAACAAAUUAGUCUUUUUUAAAAACUUAUUUCGAAACUAGUCCCUGCAAAAAACUUCAACCAAAAAUAGGCCGUGAACUCAGCGCCAUGGACCUUGGCGCUGAGCUAUAACGUCUCAGCGCCAACUUUUGUUGGCGCUAAGCUCAAAUCCGAGGUGGCAUGAAUUUGUUGAGUCAUCAUAUUUGGCGCUGAGGUCUUGAUGAUUUAAAUUUCUACGGAGGCAUUCAUCUUCAUCAACUCAACGAUAGCAUAGUGGUAGUAGGAUUCUACUCUAACCCUAUGGAGCAGGGUUCGAUCCCCCAUUUCAUCCAUUUUUCUUCUUUUCUCCGUUUUUUCUUCUUUCGACCCCCCAUCUCUCCCUUUUUUUUUUCUGUUUCUUCUUCUUUUUUUCUUCUUUUUCUUCUCUCUCACACUCUUUAAAUUUACAAACGAAACUGUCAUUUUGUAAAGAAUAAGAGUGAAUAGUCGAGAGAAAAAAAAAACCAUUUUUUUCUUUUUCUUCUUCUUUUUCUUCUCUCUCUCACUCUUUAUUUUUUUUCUUUUCUGUUUGUCUCUGAUACUAUCUUCAAAAGAUAUGUUUAAAUUGCAAUUUUUUUGAAUUUGGAAAAAAAUAUUAAAGUGGUAUAUUAUAUGGCAAUUGAGAACUUAAACUGAAAUUUCAAAUCAAAUUCAAAAUAAAACAAAUUUACAAACGAAACUGUCAUUUUGUAAAGAAUAAGAGUGAGUAGUUGAGAGAACAAAAAAGAGAAAAGGAAAAAACCCAAAAUACAAAAAAAAAUGUUGAGGUGGGAUACCAGGAUUCGGACCUAGAACCCUAUGCCCUCACAGCUUGAGACAUCAACCACUAGGCUAUAACUGUUUUGCUACACUAAGAUGCUUGCGCUUCUAUUUGAAUCGUCAGGACCUCUGACUCAGCAACACCUCGGAUUAGAUGUUAGCGCAAUAACGUUGGCGCUGAGAUGUUAUAGGUCAGCGCCAAGGUCUAUGGCGCUGAGACCACGGUCUAUUUUUUGUUGAAGUUUUUUAUAGGACUAGUUUCGAAAUAAGUUUUUGAAAACGACCAAUUUGUUAAAAAAAACGGCCACAACCAAGUCCUCAAGCUAGAGAGCAGCAAAACACAACAGAAAUUGGGGUGUCCUCUAGACCAAACAACAAGAGAUCAAAGAAUUUCACCAUUACAGAAGACAUAAUGUUGGUGUCGGCAUGGCUCAAUACCACUCUGAAUGCUGCGAUCGCAGGUGCUAAGCAACAUUGUGACUCAUAUUAAGCAACGAUUCACCAAUACUUGCAUAAAAACAAGAAAUCCCCCACAAAUCGUAACCAAAAUUCUUUUAACAAACAUUGUGGGUGCCACUCAAUACUAAGUUAACAAUACAAUUUGAAAUGUUGCUAUAUUUUCUAAAAAGUUUGACUAGAAAAAGUUAAAACUACUUAUUAUAAUAUGAAAUAGAGAGCAUAGGUGAUAUGGUGUAGUUCGGACAUAGUCGCUAAUAGCAAGCUCGUAUCCAUGUCAACUAGGCAAAAUAUUAAUAUACAAAAAUAUUUAGUUGAUGGUGAUUUUUAUCCAAUUAAGAGUGAAACACAAACUUCGGUGAUAGUUCAAGGCCAUGUUGAUCUGGACUGUAUUCUUUGGGACACUUUCCUAGCUUCUACUCUCUCGCUUUCCUUUCCAAACUAAUAAAUAAUAUAUUUUUUUAAAUAGAGAAAAUUUAUUUUAAAAAAAUCAUAUUAAUCUAUUUCAAUUUUUUUAAGCUAAUAUUUAAUUAAUUAUGUGUUAAUCCGCCGCUUCAUUUUGUGUGCUAGGAGAGAAGGGUUCCCAACACCCUCGAAAGAACACAGCCAUCUACUAGUCACAACUCACAAUCUAACAUCAAAGUGAAUCUUACGACUACAAAGUACAACGUUUAUGCUAUGGGAAAUUUGGAACCAAACAUUAGUUGCAUCACCAUAGGGUCUGGAUGUCAAAAUAAUGUCGACAAAUUUAAACAUAUAUAAACUUUUUGUAUUUGUAAUUUUUAAAAUGGAUGAGGGUAAAGACGGGGAAACCAACUGGAAAGCAGAAAACAAAUACAAAAUAGUUUAGACCAAUUUUACUGAAAACAAAUCACAUGUUAGAAAACCACAGGAUACAUGUUCCCAUCCAAAGCUUUGCAGUGGAAUUUGUAAACCUUGCAUCUGAGAAAAAAGGGUAACUCCAUUUUGCUUCCAAUGCAACAGAAAGCAUUGUAAUGGACAUUUCCACCAUGCAACACACAAAAUCUUCGGUACUGGGACUAUCUCAACUCCUUAUAUUAAACAAAAGCAAAUUAUUUAACUAAACAUUAGGAGUAAAUUAUGUCAUAAGUCGUCAGGGAAAUUAACAGAUUUUCACACUGGCCACUCAGCACACACAGGAGUGGUCGAACUAAUUUCAGCUAGGCAGUCUAGCUAGUGGAUUGAUACAACUACAACACAUAGUAGCAGGUUAAAAGCUACAUAGUUAAGAAAGAGGACACGGCGCUCUCUCCAUCAGUGGAUAUAUGGUACCUGGUACUGAACCUGAUAGCCAUUACCAUAGUAUGUUGUGUGGGCAGGUGACAUGCCAUAGGGAGCUGAGCUUAUCAUUGUUGGGUGAUGAUGGGCCUCAGCACCAUAUACAUACUGCCUCUCGUAAGGGUAGGAAUGCCUCUGUGGCGCAGCGGCCUGGUAGAAGCUUUUGUCAGAAAAGCUAGUAAUAUGU
RNAcentral lists this long non-coding RNA (9848 nucleotides) under Oryza sativa (Asian cultivated rice). Its description in RNAcentral is "long non-coding RNA (OSAT_LNC001594)". Lineage: Eukaryota; Viridiplantae; Streptophyta; Magnoliopsida; Poales; Poaceae. The record is from RNAcentral.